GCUUAGAUGUUUUAUAGCGUAAUGGAACCACAUUGACCCUUCUCGAACUCAAUAGUGAAACGUUACAGCGGUGAAGAUACUGAAAGGGUGGCCUUUUGGGAAAAUAACACAGUGUCUAAGUAUUAAAUUUAUUAAUAUUA
This 140-nucleotide ribosomal RNA is filed under the name Phaeocystis antarctica. The record is from RNAcentral. Lineage: Eukaryota; Haptophyta; Phaeocystales; Phaeocystaceae.